GUCAAAAAUGACUCUCGGCAACGGAUAUCUCGGCUCUUGCAUCGAUGAAGAACGUAGCGAAAUGCGAUACUUGGUGUGAAUUGCAGAAUCCCGUGAACCAUCGAGUCUUUGAACGCAAGUUGCGCCCGAAGCCAUUAGGCUAAGGGCACGCCUGCCUGGGUGUCACCAA
Molecule: ribosomal RNA, 169 nt
Filed under: Geoffroea spinosa
Lineage: Eukaryota; Viridiplantae; Streptophyta; Magnoliopsida; Fabales; Fabaceae
Description: 5.8S ribosomal RNA
Rfam family: 5.8S ribosomal RNA
About the family: 5.8S ribosomal RNA (5.8S rRNA) is a component of the large subunit of the eukaryotic ribosome. It is transcribed by RNA polymerase I as part of the 45S precursor that also contains 18S and 28S rRNA.
Source: RNAcentral